CCUACGGGAGGCAGCAGUGGGGAAUAUUGCACAAUGGGGGGAACCCUGAUGCAGCGACGCCGCGUGAGUGAAGAAGUAUUUCGGUAUGUAAAGCUCUAUCAGCAGGGAAGAAAAUGACGGUACCUGACUAAGACGCCCCGGCUAACUCCGUGCCAGCCGCCGCGGUCAUACGUAGGGGGCAAGCGUUAUCCGGAUUUACUGGGUGUAAAGGGAGCGUAGACGGUUAUGUAAGUCUGGAGUGAAAGCCCGGGGCCCAACCCCGGGACUGCUUUGGACACUGUGUAACUGGAGUACAGGAGGGGCAGGCGGAAUUCCUGGUGUAGCGGUGAAAUGCGUAGAUAUCAGGAGGAACACCGGCGGCGAAGGCGGCCUGCUGGACUGAAACUGACGUUGAGGCUCGAAAGCGUGGGGAGCAAACAGGAUUAGAUACCCUUGUAGUC
This 440-nucleotide ribosomal RNA is filed under the name uncultured bacterium. RNAcentral's name for it is "partial 16S ribosomal RNA". It matches the Rfam family "Bacterial small subunit ribosomal RNA", at positions 338 to 795 of the family's 1533-position model. The record is from RNAcentral.